This 1193-nucleotide long non-coding RNA is filed under the name Physcomitrium patens. RNAcentral's name for it is "long non-coding RNA (PPAT_LNC008075)". Lineage: Eukaryota; Viridiplantae; Streptophyta; Bryopsida; Funariales; Funariaceae. The record is from RNAcentral.
CACUAGGUGCGGAGAAGUCGGUGGUGCUCGUCAUUCGUCUGGAGGUUGCUACCGAGCGACAAAUCUGUGGUGUUGCUGUGUUGACGCGCCAUCGGCAUUUAUGUUUAUUUCCUCCUCGAUCUCUUGCUCUCGUUGCUAAUCUUGUUGUCGACGAAAUUAGAUAGAGGUGGUUGCGGUCAGAGCGGCUCAAGCUUGCUCUUACAUCGGCUUGCGUAGCGGCUUGGCUGUUACUAUCGCCUCUUGAUUGAUGCAACAGUGUUGAUGGUGAUUACCUGCGCCAUUUUUAAUUUUGUUUUUUAUUAGUAUCAAUUGACUUGAUUGUGUUCAGGUGGUGGACUAAAGUUCUGUAGUUACGGUGGUCAAUCAGAGCUGUGGUCUUUCUUCUGGAAUUGAUUGUCGACAACUCAAGAGAGUGGUUGUUGGUUUCGUGGCGACCGCAUCAAAAUGUAGUAUUUUUUGUAGGGCAGACGAAAUUGAAUCAGAGCAAGUCUGGUGUGAUUUGUUGCGAGAUUGUGGGUGCACAAGGCUUGGAUGUUUGACGGCGCCAAGGUGUUCUGCCUUGUUUCAAUUGUGCUCCACUAAUUACACUUAAUUGCCCAGUAGAACCUCCGCCCAGCAUAGCUUCUUCAACAACCUGACUCAUUACACAGUCAGCAACGAUGUGCACUUGAGAAUACUGAUAAGGACCAAAAUCUUAAGGAUUUGAAGCAACACCAGCGAGCCAGCACCCACCUUGAGAGUAAUUGACCUUCUGCUUGAAGUCCAAAAGAAGUUAGAGUAGACGACCCCCGGCACAAGGGCCUGCCAUUGGGUAAGUUUCUAAAUUGUCAAAGUAGCUGCAGUUUCUAUAGGAGGAACUCAAAAUUAGAAUAUGUCUUGCAGUUCAGUUCUGAUAAAAGAAGGCCUUCAAGGACGCCAAGUAUGUAGUUGAGAAGGUUGUCGAGAUUGAAGUCUGAACUCCUACUAGCAAUAGUCCGACUAUGAUUUCAAGCUUUGGUGGAUUGUGAGUUGUCCACACGGCUUCAACAUUUAGCCUGAUUAUAAGGGAAUCCCAUCCCAGAGGCUCUGACAAUUCAAAAGGAAAUUGGCCGAGGAACUAUCCACUUCGAAUGAAAAUCCAUCGUAAGUAAUAUUCAUGUAAAGAUACUGAUUUUUACGAAUGAAAUUUGCUUGGCCGAAUUUAGGUUAACUUG